Molecule: long non-coding RNA, 1358 nt
Filed under: Bos indicus x Bos taurus (hybrid cattle)
Lineage: Eukaryota; Metazoa; Chordata; Mammalia; Artiodactyla; Bovidae
Description: lncRNA (ENSBIXG00000016447.1)
Source: RNAcentral
GUGUUUUUGUGUUUUUAAGAUAAGGGUUUCACUGUUGUAAUCUAGGAAAAAAGCUGCUGUACAACAGUGAAGUCUUUUUUUUUUUUUUUGCAUGAGGAGGAGAAAAAAGCGACCUUACCCUUCCCUCUCCCAUAUGCUUCAACUUUCAUGUCUGUUUUGCCCUGUAUUUCAUUAACAUUAUGAUUAAUGAAAGCUCUCCUGAAUUUCAAAUACCUUGAAAAGUAGCCAGUGCCUGCUCUUCCGAGGCCACGUUGAAGAUAAAUAACAAUAAAAACAGGGUGAUCCAGGCUUUUGAAGUCUUUAAAGACAACCGUCACUGUGAUCUUUGUACCACUUUUGCAGAAAGGAGAACAUUUCACAUUUCUGGCGCUACUAAGGACAGCACAGCAACUGAAAGAAAGCGUGAAUUUCUGGGAGCAGCAUCAGGACACAGGACUCCUGCUGAGCUCACCAGCUCCUUGCUUCGCACAGCUGCCUUCUCAGCUGGGGGUUUCAAAUCAGCACUGUGAGGAAAGACAGAAAUGACCAUGGUGCAUUUGCCUCACUAUAAGAAAAAGCUCGCUUGCUUUUCAUAUUGGACAACGCUAUCCCAAAGGAAAAGAAAGAGCUUCUACAAGUAUGUAUACAAACUUUCAAAAGACUCAGAAAUGACUUUAAAGACAAACAAUAGUAGUUUGUACUAAUAUGGUUCUUCCUAGAGCCUAUUAUGCAGAGUGAAGUAAGUCAGAAAGAGAAAAACAAAUAUUGUGUAUUAACACAUACAUAUAGAAUCUAGAAAGAUGGUACAUACUGACGAACCUAUUUGCAGGGCAGCUAUGGAGACACAGAUGUACAGAACAGACUUUGGACACAGUGGGGAAAGGAGAGAGUGAGAUGAACAGAGAGAGUAGCAUUGAAACAUGUAUACUGUUGCUGCUACUGCUAAGUCGCUUCAGUCAAGUCUGACUCUGUGCAACCCCAUAGACGGUAGCCCACCAGGCUCCCCCGUCCCUGGGAUUCUCCAGGCAAGAACACUGGAGUGGGUUGCCAUUUCCUUCUCCAAUGCGUGAAAGUGAAAAGUGAAAGUGAAGUCGCUCAGUUGUGUCUGACCCUCAGGGACCCCGUGGACUGCAGCCUUCCAGGCUCCUCCAUCCAUGGGAUUUUUGUGUAAAAUAGAUAGCCAGUGGGAUUUUGCUGUAUGACACACAGAGCUCAAAUCUGGUGCUCUGUGACAAAUAGGGGGGGAGGAGGUUCAGUGGGGAGGGGACAUAUAUUGCCUAUGACUGAUUCAUGUUGAUAUAUUGCAGAAACCAACACAAUAUUAUAAAGCAAUUAUCCUCCAAUUAAAAAUAAAUAAAUUAAAAAAUAUUGUUCUUCCA